GAGUAUGUUAAGCCUUAAUGAGAACUGCUAAUUCCUCAUUCCCCUGGUUAAACUCCACGGCCUACUCA
This 68-nucleotide transfer RNA is filed under the name Allobates carajas. Its description in RNAcentral is "tRNA-Ser". The record is from RNAcentral. Lineage: Eukaryota; Metazoa; Chordata; Amphibia; Anura; Aromobatidae.